GAAAAAGAUUUUAAGGACUGCUAACUCUUAUCCCCACAUUUAAUACUUGUGGCUUUUUCA
Molecule: non-coding RNA, 60 nt
Organism: Erinaceus europaeus (western European hedgehog)
Lineage: Eukaryota; Metazoa; Chordata; Mammalia; Eulipotyphla; Erinaceidae
Source: Ensembl